AUUUAUAUAGUUUAAUAAAAACAUUACAUUUUCACUGUAAAAAAAAGAAAUUUUUCUUUAUAAAUU
RNAcentral lists this transfer RNA (66 nucleotides) under Propsilocerus taihuensis. RNAcentral describes it as "tRNA-Glu". The record is from RNAcentral. Lineage: Eukaryota; Metazoa; Arthropoda; Insecta; Diptera; Chironomidae.